Long non-coding RNA from Notothenia coriiceps (black rockcod), 1725 nucleotides. RefSeq lists it as uncharacterized. The record is from RefSeq and is a predicted model, not a curated record. The transcript has 4 exons. Lineage: Eukaryota; Metazoa; Chordata; Actinopteri; Perciformes; Nototheniidae.
AUAUAGCACAGAUUAUAAAAAACAGCAAUUUCUUAAUAAAAACAUUGAAGAAACACAUAUAUAUUAUUUAAACCAAAAGACAUCCCUCCCUCUCUUUCACACCAACCACACUGGACGGAACCCUUUUGACAUUUUGUGUAUUUUCAUUUUAAAGGUGUCUGGUGUUUGCAUGUGUGGGCACAUGUGUGUUAAAAGACAGUGAAGUGAAGGUGUGAAGGUGGCCUGUGUUUAGCGUCCAGACCUGGCAGAUUGUGACCUUAUCAAUGUGAAACUCUUAAGAUAAAUUAUUCAUAGCACCUGUUUGAUGUCUCCGGCCAAAGAAUGACAAAGGUGUAAGAUUUAAGAUCCGUCUCAAAAGCCAUGAAUAUCAGCCGCUGUGCUACCUGUCCUUUUUUUAAGAGGAGAAAAAGAGAUGGAUAGGCUGCAUUUCAAACCAUGAAAAUGAACAAUUUGUUCCCUUACAGGAGGUGCAGACGAGAGCAGCCAGAGAACAGCCAGAGAUACAGUACAGUAGCAGAGAGCAACAUGGCGGCCAGGUGUUCAGAAACACAGCGGGACGUGUCGGUGUGGUGCAAGGAUUGACACUUGGAUGAGAUAAUGCUACCACCUGUGUCUUUAGAGGCAAAAAGGGGGGGGGUAUCGGAAUUCCUUUUUGGAAAGCUGGUUAAGGUAAGUGGCACCCUCUAUUAAAAUGACACAGCAAAUGAUGGUGCUGCCAGUUGUGUUUCUGCAUUACGGGGUUUUUUUUUUCAUGGAAUGACCCCGGCUUCCUAAGCAUCACCACCCUCUAUCAAAGCUCCAGCUACAAGUCACUGCUUUAAAAACACACGCGGUCACCAUUGAUGAACGUCAGCAGAGCAACCUCAGUGCCACAAGGGAGCCUGGAGACCAACAAAGCCGGCUGAUACAGUAACAGAGUGGAUCAUGCUCUUGAAAUUGCUUUCAUAAUGAUAAUUGUGAUAUCAUUUGAUGUCGGCUGUUGUGUGAUUCAUCGGAGGGUACAGCUGCUUCACAUGGAUCUUGGCCUGGACAGGACUGUUUCCUCACAGGGCAGCUGAUCACAUGACUCAAUCACACGGAUAGAUCUGAGCUCUAAUUGGCCGUGCAAUGGCCGUCACUGAGGCAAAUCUGGGUGCAUGUGUAUGGCUCUCUGCUUUGAAUAGUAAAAUGUUGGGUUGUUUUUUUAUCUUGCUAGGCAGAAGGGCAGUGAGUUCUGUGUAUGUUUAUGGGUGGGGAGUAGACCAAGGACUGCUUUAAUGAUGUACAAUGCAAAAUAAUAUGUCAUCACGAGUACAAUCUGCUAUGAUCUGCAAUUGAAACAAUGCAGUGCUAUAAUGUGCCGCUGGAAUGUUAAGCAAUGAGUGUAAUUUGUGGCUUCAGUUUAUCUGUACAUUACAGCAAAGCUUUCCUAUAUCCUCUCUCUUUCUCCCUUCACCUCAUGGCCCCAGUUUCACCCUAUAUUCUUUCCCACCCAAGUUAUGUCCAUGCAUUAAUGACCAGUUGGCUUGCUUGUGUGUCCAGUGUAAAUAAAUAAUAAAGCUCUCCUAUCAUUCUCAUAACCAUCAGCUUGGUGGGGUUAAAGCAGACAGCAAGCGACAGGCAACAGGGAGAAUAUGUGUAGGCGUAUGUGUGCAAUCAUGGCCAUGUCCAUGGUGCAGUUUAGCUGAUUGUGUUUACGUCCCUUUCCUCCUCCUCCUCCUCCUGCUCUGUAUGUCCACAGGCAAC